Capra hircus (goat) is the source of this 873-nucleotide RNA transcript. It is a transcript of the gene named F-actin-capping protein subunit alpha-1-like, with no coding region annotated. The record is from RefSeq and is a predicted model, not a curated record. The transcript has a single exon. NCBI's taxonomy places the organism in Eukaryota, Metazoa, Chordata, Mammalia, Artiodactyla, Bovidae.
CCCAAGAUGGCUGCCUUCGAGGAUCGGGUGUCGGAUGAGGAGAAGGUAUGCAUAGCUGCUAAAUUUAUCACUCAUGCACCGCCAGGGGAAUUCAAUGAAGUGUUCAACAAUAUCUGGCUACUACUUAAUAAUGAUAAUCUCCUCAGGGAAGGGGCAGCACAUGCAUUUGCCCAGUAUAACAUGGAUCAGUUCACACCUGUGAAGAUAGAAGGAUAUGAAGAUCAGGUCUUAAUUACAGAACACGGUGACCUGGGUAAUAGCAGAUUUUUAGAUCCAAGAAACAAAAUUUCCUUUAAGUUUGAUCACUUAUGGAAAGAAGCAAGUAACCCCCAGCCAGAAGAAGUAGAUGGAGGUCUGAAGUCUUGGAGAGAAUCCCGUGACAAUGCUUUAAGGGCCUAUGUGAAAGAUCAUUAUUCCAACGGCUUUUGUACUGUUUAUGCUAAAACUAUAGAUGGGCAACAGACCAUUAUUGCAUGUAUUGAAAGCCACCAGUUUCAGCCUAAAAACUUCUGGAAUGGUCACUGGAGAUCAGAAUGGAAGUUCACCAUCACACCAUCUACAGCCCAGGUGGUUGGAGUACUUAAGAUUCAGGUUCACUAUUAUGAAGAUGGCAAUGUUCAGUUGGUUAGUCAUAAAGAUGUACAGGAUUCAGUAACUGUUUUGAAUGAAGCCCAGACUGCCAAGGAGUUUAUUAAAAUCAUAGAGCAUGCAGAAAAUGAGUGUCAGACAGCAAUUAGUGAAAACUAUCAAACGAUGUCAGACCACAUUCAAAGCCUUGCGCCAGCAACUUCCUGUUCCCCACACCAAAGUCGACUGGAACAAGAUACUCAGCUACAAGAUUGGCAAAGAAAUGCAGAAUACUUAAAGGCUGAA